This 2906-nucleotide ribosomal RNA is filed under the name Escherichia coli. RNAcentral describes it as "23S ribosomal RNA". It matches the Rfam family "Bacterial large subunit ribosomal RNA". Lineage: Bacteria; Pseudomonadati; Pseudomonadota; Gammaproteobacteria; Enterobacterales; Enterobacteriaceae. The record is from RNAcentral.
GGUUAAGCGACUAAGCGUACACGGUGGAUGCCCUGGCAGUCAGAGGCGAUGAAGGACGUGCUAAUCUGCGAUAAGCGUCGGUAAGGUGAUAUGAACCGUUAUAACCGGCGAUUUCCGAAUGGGGAAACCCAGUGUGAUUCGUCACACUAUCAUUAACUGAAUCCAUAGGUUAAUGAGGCGAACCGGGGGAACUGAAACAUCUAAGUACCCCGAGGAAAAGAAAUCAACCGAGAUUCCCCCAGUAGCGGCGAGCGAACGGGGAGCAGCCCAGAGCCUGAAUCAGUGUGUGUGUUAGUGGAAGCGUCUGGAAAGGCGCGCGAUACAGGGUGACAGCCCCGUACACAAAAAUGCACAUGCUGUGAGCUCGAUGAGUAGGGCGGGACACGUGGUAUCCUGUCUGAAUAUGGGGGGACCAUCCUCCAAGGCUAAAUACUCCUGACUGACCGAUAGUGAACCAGUACCGUGAGGGAAAGGCGAAAAGAACCCCGGCGAGGGGAGUGAAAAAGAACCUGAAACCGUGUACGUACAAGCAGUGGGAGCACAGAGCAAUCUGUGUGACUGCGUACCUUUUGUAUAAUGGGUCAGCGACUUAUAUUCUGUAGCAAGGUUAACCGAAUAGGGGAGCCGAAGGGAAACCGAGUCUUAACUGGGCGUUAAGUUGCAGGGUAUAGACCCGAAACCCGGUGAUCUAGCCAUGGGCAGGUUGAAGGUUGGGUAACACUAACUGGAGGACCGAACCGACUAAUGUUGAAAAAUUAGCGGAUGACUUGUGGCUGGGGGUGAAAGGCCAAUCAAACCGGGAGAUAGCUGGUUCUCCCCGAAAGCUAUUUAGGUAGCGCCUCGUGAAUUCAUCUCCGGGGGUAGAGCACUGUUUCGGCAAGGGGGUCAUCCCGACUUACCAACCCGAUGCAAACUGCGAAUACCGGAGAAUGUUAUCACGGGAGACACACGGCGGGUGCUAACGUCCGUCGUGAAGAGGGAAACAACCCAGACCGCCAGCUAAGGUCCCAAAGUCAUGGUUAAGUGGGAAACGAUGUGGGAAGGCCCAGACAGCCAGGAUGUUGGCUUAGAAGCAGCCAUCAUUUAAAGAAAGCGUAAUAGCUCACUGGUCGAGUCGGCCUGCGCGGAAGAUGUAACGGGGCUAAACCAUGCACCGAAGCUGCGGCAGCGACGCUUAUGCGUUGUUGGGUAGGGGAGCGUUCUGUAAGCCUGCGAAGGUGUGCUGUGAGGCAUGCUGGAGGUAUCAGAAGUGCGAAUGCUGACAUAAGUAACGAUAAAGCGGGUGAAAAGCCCGCUCGCCGGAAGACCAAGGGUUCCUGUCCAACGUUAAUCGGGGCAGGGUGAGUCGACCCCUAAGGCGAGGCCGAAAGGCGUAGUCGAUGGGAAACAGGUUAAUAUUCCUGUACUUGGUGUUACUGCGAAGGGGGGACGGAGAAGGCUAUGUUGGCCGGGCGACGGUUGUCCCGGUUUAAGCGUGUAGGCUGGUUUUCCAGGCAAAUCCGGAAAAUCAAGGCUGAGGCGUGAUGACGAGGCACUACGGUGCUGAAGCAACAAAUGCCCUGCUUCCAGGAAAAGCCUCUAAGCAUCAGGUAACAUCAAAUCGUACCCCAAACCGACACAGGUGGUCAGGUAGAGAAUACCAAGGCGCUUGAGAGAACUCGGGUGAAGGAACUAGGCAAAAUGGUGCCGUAACUUCGGGAGAAGGCACGCUGAUAUGUAGGUGAAGCGACUUGCUCGUGGAGCUGAAAUCAGUCGAAGAUACCAGCUGGCUGCAACUGUUUAUUAAAAACACAGCACUGUGCAAACACGAAAGUGGACGUAUACGGUGUGACGCCUGCCCGGUGCCGGAAGGUUAAUUGAUGGGGUUAGCGCAAGCGAAGCUCUUGAUCGAAGCCCCGGUAAACGGCGGCCGUAACUAUAACGGUCCUAAGGUAGCGAAAUUCCUUGUCGGGUAAGUUCCGACCUGCACGAAUGGCGUAAUGAUGGCCAGGCUGUCUCCACCCGAGACUCAGUGAAAUUGAACUCGCUGUGAAGAUGCAGUGUACCCGCGGCAAGACGGAAAGACCCCGUGAACCUUUACUAUAGCUUGACACUGAACAUUGAGCCUUGAUGUGUAGGAUAGGUGGGAGGCUUUGAAGUGUGGACGCCAGUCUGCAUGGAGCCGACCUUGAAAUACCACCCUUUAAUGUUUGAUGUUCUAACGUUGACCCGUAAUCCGGGUUGCGGACAGUGUCUGGUGGGUAGUUUGACUGGGGCGGUCUCCUCCUAAAGAGUAACGGAGGAGCACGAAGGUUGGCUAAUCCUGGUCGGACAUCAGGAGGUUAGUGCAAUGGCAUAAGCCAGCUUGACUGCGAGCGUGACGGCGCGAGCAGGUGCGAAAGCAGGUCAUAGUGAUCCGGUGGUUCUGAAUGGAAGGGCCAUCGCUCAACGGAUAAAAGGUACUCCGGGGAUAACAGGCUGAUACCGCCCAAGAGUUCAUAUCGACGGCGGUGUUUGGCACCUCGAUGUCGGCUCAUCACAUCCUGGGGCUGAAGUAGGUCCCAAGGGUAUGGCUGUUCGCCAUUUAAAGUGGUACGCGAGCUGGGUUUAGAACGUCGUGAGACAGUUCGGUCCCUAUCUGCCGUGGGCGCUGGAGAAUUGAGGGGGGCUGCUCCUAGUACGAGAGGACCGGAGUGGACGCAUCACUGGUGUUCGGGUUGUCAUGCCAAUGGCACUGCCCGGUAGCUAAAUGCGGAAGAGAUAAGUGCUGAAAGCAUCUAAGCACGAAACUUGCCCCGAGAUGAGUUCUCCCUGACUCCUUGAGAGUCCUGAAGGAACGUUGAAGACGACGACGUUGAUAGGCCGGGUGUGUAAGCGCAGCGAUGCGUUGAGCUAACCAGUACUAAUGAACCGUGAGGCUUAACCUU